Molecule: ribosomal RNA, 2284 nt
Filed under: Bacillus anthracis (anthrax bacterium)
Lineage: Bacteria; Bacillati; Bacillota; Bacilli; Caryophanales; Bacillaceae
Also listed under: 1 other name
Description: partial 23S ribosomal RNA
Rfam family: Bacterial large subunit ribosomal RNA
Source: RNAcentral
GGCGAGUUACGAUCCCGUGCGAGGUUAAGCUGAAGAGGCGGAGCCGCAGCGAAAGCGAGUCUGAAUAGGGCGUUUAGUACGUGGUCGUAGACCCGAAACCAGGUGAUCUACCCAUGUCCAGGGUGAAGUUCAGGUAACACUGAAUGGAGGCCCGAACCCACGCACGUUGAAAAGUGCGGGGAUGAGGUGUGGGUAGCGGAGAAAUUCCAAUCGAACCUGGAGAUAGCUGGUUCUCCCCGAAAUAGCUUUAGGGCUAGCCUUAAGUGUAAGAGUCUUGGAGGUAGAGCACUGAUUGGACUAGGGGUCCUCAUCGGAUUACCGAAUUCAGUCAAACUCCGAAUGCCAAUGACUUAUCCUUAGGAGUCAGACUGCGAGUGAUAAGAUCCGUAGUCAAAAGGGAAACAGCCCAGACCGCCAGCUAAGGUCCCAAAGUGUGUAUUAAGUGGAAAAGGAUGUGGAGUUGCUUAGACAACUAGGAUGUUGGCUUAGAAGCAGCCACCAUUUAAAGAGUGCGUAAUAGCUCACUAGUCGAGUGACUCUGCGCCGAAAAUGUACCGGGGCUAAAUACACCACCGAAGCUGCGGAUUGAUACCAAUGGUAUCAGUGGUAGGGGAGCGUUCUAAGGACAGUGAAGUCAGACCGGAAGGACUGGUGGAGUGCUUAGAAGUGAGAAUGCCGGUAUGAGUAGCGAAAGACGGGUGAGAAUCCCGUCCACCGAAUGCCUAAGGUUUCCUGAGGAAGGCUCGUCCGCUCAGGGUUAGUCAGGACCUAAGCCGAGGCCGACAGGCGUAGGCGAUGGACAACAGGUUGAUAUUCCUGUACCACCUCUUUAUCGUUUGAGCAAUGGAGGGACGCAGAAGGAUAGAAGAAGCGUGCGAUUGGUUGUGCACGUCCAAGCAGUUAGGCUGAUAAGUAGGCAAAUCCGCUUAUCGUGAAGGCUGAGCUGUGAUGGGGAAGCUCCUUAUGGAGCGAAGUCUUUGAUUCCCCGCUGCCAAGAAAAGCUUCUAGCGAGAUAAAAGGUGCCUGUACCGCAAACCGACACAGGUAGGCGAGGAGAGAAUCCUAAGGUGUGCGAGAGAACUCUGGUUAAGGAACUCGGCAAAAUGACCCCGUAACUUCGGGAGAAGGGGUGCUUUCUUAACGGAAAGCCGCAGUGAAUAGGCCCAAGCGACUGUUUAGCAAAAACACAGCUCUCUGCGAAGCCGUAAGGCGAAGUAUAGGGGGUGACACCUGCCCGGUGCUGGAAGGUUAAGGAGAGGGGUUAGCGUAAGCGAAGCUCUGAACUGAAGCCCCAGUAAACGGCGGCCGUAACUAUAACGGUCCUAAGGUAGCGAAAUUCCUUGUCGGGUAAGUUCCGACCCGCACGAAAGGUGUAACGAUUUGGGCACUGUCUCAACCAGAGACUCGGUGAAAUUAUAGUACCUGUGAAGAUGCAGGUUACCCGCGACAGGACGGAAAGACCCCGUGGAGCUUUACUGUAGCCUGAUAUUGAAUUUUGGUACAGUUUGUACAGGAUAGGCGGGAGCCUUUGAAACCGGAGCGCUAGCUUCGGUGGAGGCGCUGGUGGGAUACCGCCCUGACUGUAUUGAAAUUCUAACCUACGGGUCUUAUCGACCCGGGAGACAGUGUCAGGUGGGCAGUUUGACUGGGGCGGUCGCCUCCUAAAGUGUAACGGAGGCGCCCAAAGGUUCCCUCAGAAUGGUUGGAAAUCAUUCGUAGAGUGCAAAGGCAUAAGGGAGCUUGACUGCGAGACCUACAAGUCGAGCAGGGACGAAAGUCGGGCUUAGUGAUCCGGUGGUUCCGCAUGGAAGGGCCAUCGCUCAACGGAUAAAAGCUACCCCGGGGAUAACAGGCUUAUCUCCCCCAAGAGUCCACAUCGACGGGGAGGUUUGGCACCUCGAUGUCGGCUCAUCGCAUCCUGGGGCUGUAGUCGGUCCCAAGGGUUGGGCUGUUCGCCCAUUAAAGCGGUACGCGAGCUGGGUUCAGAACGUCGUGAGACAGUUCGGUCCCUAUCCGUCGUGGGCGUAGGAAAUUUGAGAGGAGCUGUCCUUAGUACGAGAGGACCGGGAUGGACGCACCGCUGGUGUACCAGUUGUUCUGCCAAGGGCAUAGCUGGGUAGCUAUGUGCGGAAGGGAUAAGUGCUGAAAGCAUCUAAGCAUGAAGCCCCCCUCAAGAUGAGAUUUCCCAUAGCGUAAGCUAGUAAGAUCCCUGAAAGAUGAUCAGGUUGAUAGGUUCGAGGUGGAAGCAUGGUGACAUGUGGAGCUGACGAAUACUAAUAGAUCG